Molecule: ribosomal RNA, 551 nt
Filed under: uncultured fungus
Lineage: Eukaryota; Fungi
Description: eukaryotic LSU rRNA
Rfam family: 5.8S ribosomal RNA (bases 199-352)
Source: RNAcentral
GUCGUACAGGUCUCCGUAGGUGAACCUGCGGAGGGAUCAUUACAAGUGACCCCGGUCUAACCACCGGGAUGUUCAUAACCCUUUGUUGUCCGACUCUGUUGCCUCCGGGGCGACCCUGCCUUCGGGCGGGGGCUCCGGGUGGACACUUCAAACUCUUGCGUAACUUUGCAGUCUGAGUAAACUUAAUUAAUAAAUUAAAACUUUUAACAACGGAUCUCUUGGUUCUGGCAUCGAUGAAGAACGCAGCGAAAUGCGAUAAGUAAUGUGAAUUGCAGAAUUCAGUGAAUCAUCGAAUCUUUGAACGCACAUCGCGCCCCCUGGUAUUCCGGGGGGCAUGCCUGUUCGAGCGUCAUUUCACCACUCAAGCCUCGCUUGGUAUUGGGCAACGCGGUCCGCCGCGUGCCUCAAAUCGACCGGCUGGGUCUUCUGUCCCCUAAGCGUUGUGGAAACUAUUCGCUAAAGGGUGUUCGGGAGGCUACGCCGUAAAACAACCCCAUUUCUAAGGUUGACCUCGGAUCAGGUAGGGAUACCCGCUGAACUUAAGCAUAUCA